GGACGAAGACGCAGAGGACGUAGCACACGCACAGGACGUUGUCCCCCAGGGCGGGGCUCCUCAGGAGCAGAGACGUGGCGAUCCCGAAGGUGGUGAAAUCGGCAAAGUCAUCCAGCUUGGCACCUGGAGGACGGAAACAAUCGGCCGGACCCCACCAGGAGCCAGCCAGCAUGGCCGGAAUCAACCAGGUGGCAUUCCCAAGCCCGGGGUCCGGCAUUUCAGCAAUUCCAGGUGCACCCCCGAGCUAAUAGUCAGGUCCGGAUCCGUAUCCAUGACAACCGUAGGAGGUUUGGAGUGGUUCCAGUAUUCUGAAUGUUGUUGUGAAAGAGCUUGGACCGGGACGUGGUCUCACCCGCUGAGGUUGCUGAGGAUGGAGGACAUGCCCAUCAGCAUGUUGGCGACCG
This is a long non-coding RNA of Nerophis lumbriciformis (worm pipefish), 404 nucleotides long. RefSeq lists it as uncharacterized. NCBI's taxonomy places the organism in Eukaryota, Metazoa, Chordata, Actinopteri, Syngnathiformes, Syngnathidae. The record is from RefSeq and is a predicted model, not a curated record.